CGGACAGGGGGGUUCCCGCCCACCGGGCGGGGCCUGUCCGACCGGCCGCGCGGACAGCGCGGCCAGUGGUUGUCGCUCGGGGGUGAACGCCG
Molecule: small RNA, 92 nt
Filed under: Streptomyces sp. CNB091
Lineage: Bacteria; Bacillati; Actinomycetota; Actinomycetes; Kitasatosporales; Streptomycetaceae
Description: che1 RNA
Rfam family: che1 RNA
Source: Rfam by way of RNAcentral